This 386-nucleotide long non-coding RNA is filed under the name Homo sapiens (human). RNAcentral's name for it is "LHRI_LNC596.1". The record is from RNAcentral. Lineage: Eukaryota; Metazoa; Chordata; Mammalia; Primates; Hominidae.
CUCUGCGUCACCUGCACUGGAGUCACCACUUGCCUGUUGGGUAAGACCAGGAUGCACCGCUGAAAUAAAAAGGGGUCAGACAAUACAAGAAAAGCCAGUAGAAAUUGCCAAAUGUAUCAGAAUACACACAGGCUUUCUAAGGAUAUGGCCCAAGAGGAAGGCUCUAGAGCCCACCCUGAAACAGGAUUUUUGACUUCACAGAGAAAUUAUUUAAUUUUCAAUAACACAAUUCAAUUAAAGAAAGGGAAAUACAAGGCUAAACAAAUAAGAAAUGAAGACAAAAACCCAACCUUUCAAAUCUAAAGAAAAUAAUCUGUUUUAAAGACACAGAUGAAGAUCAGGAACCCAAAACAGAAGAAAGGAAAAGCAAUUAACGCUGGCAUCUG